ACCAGGUAUGGUAGUGCAUGCCUGUAAUCCCAGCUAUUCUGGAGGCUGAGGCAGGAGGAUUGCUUGAGCACAUGAUUUUGAGCAGCCUGGAUAACACAAUGAGACCCCUGUCUCAA
This 116-nucleotide small RNA is filed under the name Marmota monax (woodchuck). Lineage: Eukaryota; Metazoa; Chordata; Mammalia; Rodentia; Sciuridae. The record is from RNAcentral.